UUUUCUUCAUGUGCUGCGCCUCUUACCGUGUCCACUCCAUCUUUGUGCUGCGGCUCUUCAAUGACCCAGUGGCUAUGGUGCUGCUCUUCCUCAGUAUCAACCUCCUGCUGGCCCAGCGCUGGGGCUGGGGCUGCUGCUUUUUCAGCCUGGCAGUCUCUGUGAAGAUGAAUGUGCUGCUCUUCGCCCCUGGGUUACUGUUUCUUCUCCUCACACAGUUUGGCUUCCGUGGGGCCCUCCCCAAGCUGGGCAUCUGUGCUGGCCUUCAGGUACCCCCACCUCACCCUUCCUCUUUCUAAUCAAGGAGAAGCCACUUGUCUUGAUUGAGGGGCUCUAUCCCUGAGACUCCCUCAAAGCCAAGAGAGAGGGUUUUGGAGUUGAUUCUGAGCUAGGAAGCCACUAUCUCUAGGCUGUAGUUUCCACAGCUGUAAAAUAGGGUAUUAAAUUUGAUGGUCUCUGAGAGCCUUUUUACUUUUUUUAAUUUUAAGUUUUGAGAUGGGCUCUUGCUGCGUUGCCCAGGCUGGUCUCAAACUCCUGUGCU
This 538-nucleotide small RNA is filed under the name Pongo abelii (Sumatran orangutan). Its description in RNAcentral is "retained intron". Lineage: Eukaryota; Metazoa; Chordata; Mammalia; Primates; Hominidae. The record is from RNAcentral.